Molecule: ribosomal RNA, 540 nt
Filed under: uncultured bacterium
Lineage: Bacteria
Description: bacterial SSU rRNA
Rfam family: Bacterial small subunit ribosomal RNA
Source: RNAcentral
AAUAGAUACCCAGGUAGUCCAUGCCGUAAACGAUGUCUACUAGCCGUUGGGGCCUUUGAGGCUUUAGUGGCGCAGCUAACGCGAUAAGUAGACCGCCUGGGGAGUACGGUCGCAAGACUAAAACUCAAAUGAAAUUGACGGGGGCCCGCACAAGCGGUGGAGCAUGUGGUUUAAUUCGAUGCAACGCGAAGAACCUUACCUGGUCUUGACAUAGUAAGAACUUUCCAGAGAUGGAUUGGUGCCUUCGGGAACUUACAUACAGGUGCUGCAUGGCUGUCGUCAGCUCGUGUCGUGAGAUGUUGGGUUAAGUCCCGCAACGAGCGCAACCCUUCUCCUUAUUUGCCAGCGGGUUAAGCCGGGAACUUUAAGGAUACUGCCAGUGACAAACUGGAGGAAGGCGGGGACGACGUCAAGUCAUCAUGGCCCUUACGACCAGGGCUACACACGUGCUACAAUGGUCGGUACAAAGGGUUGCUACCUAGCGAUAGGAUGCUAAUCUCAAAAAGCCGAUCGUAGUCCGGAUUGGAGUCUGCAACUCGA